CUUACUCCUACGGGAGGCAGCAGUGAGGAAUAUUGGUCAAUGGGCGGAAGCCUGAACCAGCCAAGUAGCGUGAAGGAUUACUGCCCUACGGGUUUUAAACUUCUUUUAUGCGAGAGUAAUGUGCGCUACGUGUAGCGUAUU
RNAcentral lists this ribosomal RNA (141 nucleotides) under uncultured bacterium. RNAcentral's name for it is "partial 16S ribosomal RNA". It matches the Rfam family "Bacterial small subunit ribosomal RNA", at positions 332 to 470 of the family's 1533-position model. The record is from RNAcentral.